RNAcentral lists this ribosomal RNA (497 nucleotides) under uncultured bacterium. Its description in RNAcentral is "partial 16S ribosomal RNA". It matches the Rfam family "Bacterial small subunit ribosomal RNA", at positions 28 to 507 of the family's 1533-position model. The record is from RNAcentral.
GAUGAACGCUGGCGGCGUGCCUAAUACAUGCAAGUCGAGCGAACAGAUGAGGAGCUUGCUCCUCUGACGUUAGCGGCGGACGGGUGAGUAACACGUGGAUAACCUACCUAUAAGACUGGGAUAACUUCGGGAAACCGGAGCUAAUACCGGAUAAUAUAUUUAACCGCAUGGUUCAAUAGUGAAAGACGGUUUUGCUGUCACUUAUAGAUGGAUCCGGGCGGCAUUAGCUAGUUGGUAAGUUAACGCCUUACCAAGGCAACGAUGCGAAGCCGACCUGGGAGGGUGAUCGGCAACACUGGAACUGAGACACGGUCCAGACUCCUACGGGAGGCAGAAGUAGGGAAUCUUCGGCAAUGGGCGAAGGCCUGACGGAGCAACGCCGCGUGGGUAGUGAGGGUCUUCGGAUCGUAAAACUCUGUUAUUGGGGAAGAACAAAUGUGUAAGUAACUGUGCACGUCUUGACGGUACCUAAUCAGAAAGCCACGGCUAACUACGUG